RNAcentral lists this ribosomal RNA (225 nucleotides) under uncultured bacterium. RNAcentral's name for it is "partial 16S ribosomal RNA". It matches the Rfam family "Bacterial small subunit ribosomal RNA", at positions 109 to 334 of the family's 1533-position model. The record is from RNAcentral.
AGUAACGCGUGGGUAACCUGCCUUGUACAGGGGGAUAACAGUUGGAAACGGCUGCUAAUACCGCAUAAGCGCACGGCAUCGCAUGAUGCAGUGUGAAAAACUCCGGUGGUAUAAGAUGGACCCGCAUUGGAUUAGCUAGUUGGUGAGGUAACGGCCCACCAAGGCGACGAUCCAUAGCCGACCUGAGAGGGUGACCGGCCACAUUGGGACUGAGACACGGCCCAA